This 589-nucleotide ribosomal RNA is filed under the name uncultured bacterium. RNAcentral's name for it is "partial 16S ribosomal RNA". It matches the Rfam family "Bacterial small subunit ribosomal RNA", at positions 355 to 1375 of the family's 1533-position model. The record is from RNAcentral.
UGGGGAAUUUUGGACAAUGGGCGAAAGCCUGAUCCAGCAAUGCCGCGUGUGUGAAGAAGGCCUUCGGGUUGUAAAGCACUUUUGUCCGGAAAGAAAUCCUUGGCUCUAAUACAGUCGGGGGAUGACGGUACCGGAAGAAUAAGCACCGGCUAACUACGUGCCAGCAGCCGCGGUAAUACGUAGGGUGCAAGCGUUAAUCGGAAUUACUGGGCGUAAAGCGUGCGCAGGCGGUUUGCUAAGACCGAUGUGAAAUCCCCGGGCUCAACCUGGGAACUGCAUUGGUGACUGGCAGGCUAGAGUAUGGCAGAGGGGGGUAGAAUUCCACGUGUAGCAGUGAAAUGCGUAGAGAUGUGGAGGAAUACCGAUGGCGAAGGCAGCCCCCCUGGGCCAAUACUGACGCUCAUGCACGAAAAGCGUGGGGGAGCAAAACAGGAUUAGAUACCCUGGUAGUCCACGCCCUAAACGAUGUCAACUAGUUGUUGGGGAUUCAUUUCCUUAGUAACGUAGCUAACGCGUGAAGUUGACCGCCUGGGGAGUACGGUCGCAAGAUUAAAACUCAAAUGAAUUGACGGGGUCAUAGCUGUUUCCU